GGACGAACGCUGGCGGCGUGCUUAACACAUGCAAGUCGAGCGGUAAGGCCCUUUCGGGGGUACACGAGCGGCGAACGGGUGAGUAACACGUGGGUGACCUGCCCUCAGCUCUGGGAUAAGCCUGGGAAACCGGGUCUAAUACUGGAUAUGACUCCAUGACGCAUGUUGUGGGGUGGAAAGCCUUGUGCGGCUGAGGAUGGGCCCGCGGCCUAUCAGCUUGUUGGUGGGGGAUGGCCUACCAAGGCGACGACGGGUAGCCGGGCCUGAGAGGGCACCGGCCACACUGGGACUGAGACACGGCCCAGAC
This 307-nucleotide ribosomal RNA is filed under the name uncultured bacterium. RNAcentral's name for it is "bacterial SSU rRNA". It matches the Rfam family "Bacterial small subunit ribosomal RNA", at positions 27 to 336 of the family's 1533-position model. The record is from RNAcentral.